This 468-nucleotide ribosomal RNA is filed under the name uncultured bacterium. Its description in RNAcentral is "partial 16S ribosomal RNA". It matches the Rfam family "Bacterial small subunit ribosomal RNA", at positions 28 to 507 of the family's 1533-position model. The record is from RNAcentral.
GACGAACGCUGGCGGCGUGCUUAACACAUGCAAGUCGAACGGAAAGGCCCUGCUUUUGUGGGGUGCUCGAGUGGCGAACGGGUGAGUAACACGUGAGUAACCUGCCCUUGACUUUGGGAUAACUUCAGGAAACUGGGGCUAAUACCGGAUAGGAGCUCCUGCUGCAUGGUGGGGGUUGGAAAGUUUCGGCGGUUGGGGAUGGACUCGCGGCUUAUCAGCUUGUUGGUGGGGUAGUGGCUUACCAAGGCUUUGACGGGUAGCCGGCCUGAGAGGGUGACCGGCCACAUGGGGACUGAGGUACGGCCCAGACUCCUACGGGAGGCAGCAGUGGGGAAUAUUACACAAUGGGCGGAAGCCUGAUGCAGCAACGCCGCGUGCGGGAUGACGGCCUUCGGGUUGUAAACCGCUUUCGCCUGUGACGAAGCGUGAGUGACGGUAAUGGGUAAAGAAGCACCGGCUAACUACGUG